CCUACGGGGGGCAGCAGUGGGGGAUAUUGCACAAUGGGGGAAACCCUGAUGCAGCGACGCCGCGUGGGCGAAGAAGUAUUUCGGUAUGUAAAGCCCUAUCAGCAGGGAAGAACAAUGACGGUACCUGACUAAGAAGCACCGGCUAAAUACGUGCCAGCAGCCGCGGUAAUACGUAUGGUGCAAGCGUUAUCCGGAUUUACGGGGGGUAAAGGGAGCGCAGGCGGCGCGUUAAGGCUGGUGUGAAAGCCCGCGGCCCAACCGCGGGACUGCAGUGGGAACUGGCGCGCUGGAGUGCCGGAGGAGUAGGCGGAAUGCGUAGUGUAGCGGUGAAAUGCGUAGAUAUUAGGAAGAACACCGGUGGCGAAGGCAGCCUACUGGACGGUGACUGACGCUGAGGCUCGAAAGCGUGGGGAGCAAACAGGAUUAGAUACCCCAGUAGUC
This 441-nucleotide ribosomal RNA is filed under the name uncultured bacterium. Its description in RNAcentral is "partial 16S ribosomal RNA". It matches the Rfam family "Bacterial small subunit ribosomal RNA", at positions 338 to 795 of the family's 1533-position model. The record is from RNAcentral.